GCGGUGGUGGUAUAGUGGUCAGCAUAGCUGCCUACCAAGCAGUUGGACUGGGUUUGAUUCCCAGCCAUUGCA
This is a non-coding RNA of Etheostoma cragini (Arkansas darter), 72 nucleotides long. Lineage: Eukaryota; Metazoa; Chordata; Actinopteri; Perciformes; Percidae. The record is from the annotation of a RefSeq genome assembly.